Molecule: long non-coding RNA, 1153 nt
Filed under: Homo sapiens (human)
Lineage: Eukaryota; Metazoa; Chordata; Mammalia; Primates; Hominidae
Description: HSALNT0363922
Source: RNAcentral
GCGGGCCGGCGGGAGAGGUAUUUAAAUUGCAGCCGGAGCGCGGGGGCUCCGGUGGGGCAGCUGAGCGGCCUGCUCCUCCUCGGGCCGUGACCCCGGGGUCUGGCGCGGGGUGGGACCCGGGGGCGGGUUUGCGCAAAAUGUGCCGAGACUGCCCGGGAGAGGAGCUGCGGCCGCGCUGAGCCAGAGCCAUGAGACCCCAGAUCCUGCUGCUCCUGGCCCUGCUGACCCUAGGCCUGGCUGCACAACACCAAGACAAAGUGCCCUGUAAGAUGGUAAAAAGCCUCACCCAGAUGACCCCCAUCCCUCAUACCAUGGAGUCAUGAGCUGUCUGGGAAGAAUGGACGUGCUGGGACCAACUCAAGACCUUGUUUUGCUGUCUUCAUCAUCUUACCUGUGCUUGGCCCACAGUCUGGCUCAUGAUGUGGGCUCAGUAAUGUGCGAGAAAGUGAAAAUGCCACUCUCUCCACCCCAUUUUACAGAGGAGAACACCAAGGCCCAGAGGAAGUUAAGGGAGAGUCAAUGGGCAGAGCCAGGGCUAGGCCCUGGUGGUGUGUGGAGCACCCAGGCAGACCCAGUCCUGGUUGGGAUCACACCCACGGGUGCUACUGCACGUAACACUCCUCCUUAGGCCUGGAGGCCAAGGUGUGGGUCCCCACGCCUGAUCUUUGAAAACACUACACAGGGCUGCUGUCACUUCCCAGGGCCCAGGCCUCAGCCCAGGCCUCGGGACCAACUCUUUGUAUAACCUACCUGAAUGUAUUAAAAACUAAUUUUGGAGAAGCAGUGUGGCUGCCAGCUUCCUCUUUGCAAUCCGCUUCAUUGCGUCCACUAGAACCCUGCCGCUCAAUCCCAUUACGGUCGUUCAAUCAUCAUGGCAAAUCCCUGGGGACACUGAGACUCUGGGCCAGCACCACCCUGGACCUUGAAGCCGCAGCCACUAGCAUGGCCCCUGCUACACCUCUUGCCCCACACUCAACAGGCGACUGUGCUCCCCACCCCAGGGCUGAGAGGCUGAGGGCUUCCGUUUGUUUCCUUCCUGCUACAGCUACAGGCCCCCUCCCCUUCUCUGUGCUCAGCCCUCUGUGCCCUAUCUCAGAGGCUGCACUGCCCCUCCUCCUUGGGGUCCCCAGCCCCGUCCUCUCUCCCUUACCCC